This 469-nucleotide ribosomal RNA is filed under the name uncultured bacterium. Its description in RNAcentral is "SSU rRNA". It matches the Rfam family "Bacterial small subunit ribosomal RNA", at positions 26 to 518 of the family's 1533-position model. The record is from RNAcentral.
AGGACGAACGCUGGCGGCGUGCUUAACACAUGCAAGUCGAGCGGAAAGGCCCUUCGGGGUACUCGAGCGGCGAACGGGUGCGUAACACGUGAGCAACCUGCCCCGAAGACCGGGAUAACCCAAGGAAACUCGGGCUAAUACCGGAUACCCUCAUCUUGUCGCAUGGCGAGGUGAGGAAAUGGAUUCCGCUUCGGGAUGGGCUCGCGGCCUAUCAGCUUGUUGGUGGGGUAACGCCUACCAAGGCUACGACGGGUAGCUGGUCUGAGAGGAUGUCCAGCCACACUGGGACUGAGACACGGCCCAGACUCCUACGGGAGGCAGCAGUGGGGAAUCUUGCGCAAUGGGCGAAAGCCUGACGCAGCGACGCCGCGUGCGGGACGAAGGCCUUCGGGUUGUAAACCGCUUUCAGCAGGGACGAUUGUGACGGUACCUGCAGAAGAAGCCCGGCCAACUACGUGCCAGCAGCCGC